UCGCGGUGAGUUACGCCGUUCUGGUGGCAAAAGUGGAGAGCCGACACGAGCUGUUGAAAGUAGCGGCGAGCCUUAGAUUCCUUGAGUUUAACACGAUGAAGAACCUUGGAGAAGAGCUCGCCACCCAAGGCCAGCUCAAUCACGAGGUAAAUUUUGGUCCUGGUGGCCAUAACCUCAUGGAUUUUAAGAAUAUUCGGAUGGUGCUUGAGGCGGCACAUGGCGGAAAUCUCACAAAGUAUCCGAGGUUCCAUGGCGGCGUCCACCAUGCGCGUUUUGUCUAUAACCUUUAUAGCUACGAGCUUGUCAUCCGUCAGAGAACGAGCUGCGUAAACCUUGGCGAAGCUGCCGCGGCCCAAUAAUUUACCGAGUUCGUACCUGUUAAGAAGGGUGGUG
This 393-nucleotide long non-coding RNA is filed under the name Manihot esculenta (cassava). Its description in RNAcentral is "long non-coding RNA (MESC_LNC001884)". Lineage: Eukaryota; Viridiplantae; Streptophyta; Magnoliopsida; Malpighiales; Euphorbiaceae. The record is from RNAcentral.